This 3167-nucleotide small RNA is filed under the name Pan troglodytes (chimpanzee). RNAcentral's name for it is "retained intron". The record is from RNAcentral. Lineage: Eukaryota; Metazoa; Chordata; Mammalia; Primates; Hominidae.
GUAUUGGGAAGGCAGAUAAAAUGCCAGGUCUGGACUGCCUCUGGGCAUAACCUCACCCUGUGGGAUGUGAAUGAAUAGCAUCUUGCCUGGUAAAUCCACAGGAAUUGAUAAGGCAGGCGCAGUUCUCCCAAACAGGCCUUUUCUCUUUAAGCUGUAGCUGUGGUUUCUGCAGCAAUUUUGUUUUUGCCUUGAAAGAGGUGCUCUGGAUUAUCAGACCUCCAUGUAUGACAAUUUGUACCUGCAUGGAAUUGAAGACUCGGAGGCUGGUUCAGCGGAUUCCUACACAAGCAGGCCGUCUGACUCCGAUGUCUCUUUGGAAGAGGACCGGGAAGCAAUUCGACAGGAGAGAGAACAGCAAGCAGCUAUCCAGCUUGAGAGAGCAAAGUCCAAACCUGUAGCAUUUGCCGUGAAGACAAAUGUGAGCUACUGCGGCGCCCUGGAUGAGGAUGUGCCUGUUCCAAGCACAGCUAUCUCCUUUGAUGCUAAAGACUUUCUACAUAUUAAAGAGAAAUAUAACAAUGAUUGGUGGAUAGGAAGGCUGGUGAAAGAGGGCUGUGAAAUUGGCUUCAUUCCAAGUCCACUCAGAUUGGAGAACAUACGGAUUCAGCAAGAACAAAAAAGAGGACGUUUUCACGGAGGGAAAUCAAGUGGAAAUUCUUCUUCAAGUCUUGGAGAAAUGGUAUCUGGGACAUUUCGAGCAACUCCCACGUCAACAGGUGAGGGUUGUAGUUAAACUCUUUUUCAUACACUGUAUUCCUUUUAAAAAUAUUUGAACACACAUGCAAGUAUUUUUGCUAAUUUGGAAACAAUUUGAAGGCUUAAUUUAAAGAUUUCUCUAAUUAAUAUUUCAUUUCUCAUUUGUUUUCUAUGGUAAUUUGAUUUCAUUUAAAAUGGUAUUAAAAAUUCAUGUCAUUAGAAUAUAAUUUUGAAAAAUCUUAUUUACCCCUCAGAGUUAAUAACUGUCCAUUGUGUAAAUUGAUAUUCAAAAAAUUCAUUAUUUUACCUAAGAAGCGGACAGAGUUUAAGAUGGUGAAGGCCAAUAAAAAAAGGAAAAAAAUUAUGCAGACUCUCAAGAAAAUGCUGUUUUCAGUCUCCAUGUGGAAUUUCAGGAUGUAUUAGUACAGCCCGAGCUGAAAGGGUUGAAGCAGAGAGUAAGGCAGGGCCCAAAGGAGGGAGGGUCUCAUUUACAUUUGGACAGCAGACAGCCAAGCCCUGGAAUUAAUGGUAAUGAAGAGAUAUUGGUGGCCUAAUAGGGAGUUGUGGUACAUUUGGAAACGAUGGAGUUAUUCAUGUAGGAAUUUUUCUUCUACCACAUUCCCUGAUUCCUAUCGGCUAAUUUCAUUCUGGCCUAGAACUGCUGUUGCAUUAGGGCAUCCAGUGUCCUAGUUACCAAUUCCAAUUGUAUUACCAAUUUGGAAUGGCAAGUCCAAGGCCCUAUUCUGGCCUACCAAAACUGGAGGCAACUGGAUUGGUUCUGGAGUGGUUCUAAGUGUCUGGGUCCUUGUUCAUGUGAAGCCCUCUUAUCUACAGGACACUGAACCAAACCAGGUUUCUGAGUUGUACCCAACUAGACUGGAGCUGCUUGGAUGUCCACAGAAUCGCUUUAAAUCAGUUAUUGAGUAUAUUUUGCUUCGUUCCCAUUUGUUGGACAUUCAGGACAUUGAACACUUUAGCUAUUACAAACAGGAAAGAACAGGAAUAACUCAUUAUAAAUUUAUCUGAGGAAUAACUGGUUAUAAAUGUAUUUGAAAUUUAAAAGCAAGAUAGUAGGGAAAAUGUGCCAAUAUUCUAGAAAAUGGGCAAAAAUGCCCAAGGGACUGCAGAAUUAUGAGUUAACAAAUAUAAAAAUAACUAUUGAUUGAGGUGAUAGUCAUUUUUGCCCAAGUGGUUAUUCUGUUUCCUUUUAUGAAAUUGCAUUUGUCUACCUUGUUCCCAGCAACACUGUGCUGUGUCCAGCACGGGAACAACCCAUGGUGAAUGGCUGGCCCGGAACUUCCAGUGUUGCUCUCAACUCCUGUACCCAACUCCCACCCAGUGAGAAAUCAGGAUAUAAGGUCAUUUGUACCAGGGAGGAAGCUGUCUGUUUUUCAUACAUCUUCAAAAUUGACGUGUCCAGAAUGAAAUCAUAAGGCAGGUUCUCCAAAGUGGGCGAUAGGAAGGUGGUGAAGAUAAUUACAGGGACAAAUGGGUACAUUCUUCCAUCUUUUAAACUCAUGUACUGUCAUUUGCAGAGAUUACAUAUUUUGAUAUGGCUCUCAUUAUUGUCUUUUAGCAAAACAGAAGCAAAAAGUGGUAAGUUGUGUUUCCUUUUUAAAUCUACUGUUAAGGUUCCUAUAUAUACAUGCCUGCAAUGCUCCAUUUCAGUGACCCAAGUGGCUAUAAAAUAAGGGAAGAGCCUCCUCGGUGGGGACUUCGAUAAUCAUUUGUCGUUCAACCUGAGAAUUAUGAAUGUUGUGGCUGUGGAGAGGCAUGCUCAACCUCACCUUGUCACGCGUGUCGAAUCAUCUUUUUCAGACGGAGCACAUUCCUCCUUACGAUGUUGUGCCGUCAAUGCGUCCGGUGGUGUUAGUGGGGCCGUCACUGAAAGGUUACGAGGUAACAGACAUGAUGCAGAAAGCCCUCUUUGAUUUCCUGAAGCACAGGUUUGAUGGGAGGAUAUCAAUAACGAGAGUGACAGCUGACAUUUCUCUUGCUAAGAGGUCUGUCCUAAAUAAUCCCAGCAAGAGAGCAAUAAUUGAACGUUCGAACACCCGGUCCAGCUUAGCGGAAGUACAAAGUGAAAUUGAAAGAAUCUUUGAGUUGGCAAGAUCUUUGCAACUGGUCGUUCUUGAUGCAGACACCAUCAAUCACCCAGCACAACUUAUAAAGACUUCCUUAGCACCAAUUAUUGUUCAUGUAAAAGUCUCAUCUCCAAAGGUUUUACAGCGGUUGAUUAAAUCUAGAGGAAAGUCACAAAGUAAACACUUGAAUGUUCAACUGGUGGCAGCUGAUAAACUUGCACAAUGCCCCCCAGAAAUGUUUGAUGUUAUAUUGGAUGAAAAUCAGCUUGAGGAUGCGUGUGAACAUCUAGGGGAGUACCUGGAGGCGUACUGGCGUGCCACCCACACAACCAGUAGCACACCCAUGACCCCGCUGCUGGGAAGGAAUUUGGGCUCCACGGCACUCUC